This 406-nucleotide ribosomal RNA is filed under the name uncultured bacterium. RNAcentral's name for it is "partial 16S ribosomal RNA". It matches the Rfam family "Bacterial small subunit ribosomal RNA", at positions 30 to 526 of the family's 1533-position model. The record is from RNAcentral.
AUUGAACGCUGGCGGCAGGCUUAACACAUGCAAGUCGAGCGAGCGGCGGAAGGGUGAGUAAUGUCUGGGAAACUGCCUGAUGGCGGGGGAUAACUACUGGAAACGGUAUCUAAUACCGCAUACCAUCAGAUGUGCCCAGAUGGGAUUCGCUAGUAGGUGGGGUAAUGGCUCACCUAGGCGCCGAUCCCUAGCUGGUCUGAGAGGAUGACCGGCAAAACUGGAACUGAGACACGGCCCAGACUCCUACGGGAGGCAGCAGGGGGGAAUAGUGAAAAAUGGGCGCAAGCCGGAUGCAGCAAUGCCGCGUGUGUGAAGAAGGCCUUCGGGUUGUAAAGCACUUUCAGCGGGGAGGCGUUACUCGCAGAAGAAGCACCGGCUAACUCCGUGCCAGCAGCCGCGGUAAUUC